This 244-nucleotide ribosomal RNA is filed under the name uncultured bacterium. RNAcentral describes it as "partial 16S ribosomal RNA". It matches the Rfam family "Bacterial small subunit ribosomal RNA", at positions 89 to 334 of the family's 1533-position model. The record is from RNAcentral.
CGUCGACCGGCGCACGGGUGAGUAACGCGUAUCCAACCUGCCCACCACUUGGGAUAACCUUGCGAAAGUAAGACUAAUACCCAAUGAUAUCUCUAGAAGACAUCUGAAAGAGAUUAAAGAUUUAUCGGUGAUGGAUGGGGAUGCGUCUGAUUAGCUUGUUGGCGGGGUAACGGCCCACCAAGGCAACGAUCAGUAGGGGUUCUGAGAGGAAGGUCCCCCACAUUGGAACUGAGACACGGUCCAA